UACAGAGGGUGCGAGCGUUGUUCGGAAUUAUUGGGCGUAAAGGGCGCGUAGGCGGUGCGGUAAGUCACCUGUGAAAUCUCCUGGCUCAACUGGGAGCUUGCAGGCGAAACUGCCGUGCUGGAGUGUGGGAGAGGUGCGUGGAAUUCCCGGUGUAGUGGUGAAAUGCGUAGAUAUCGGGAGGAACACCUGUGGCGAAAGCGGCGCACUGGACCACAACUGACGCUGAGGCGCGAAAGCGUGGGGAGCGAACAGG
RNAcentral lists this ribosomal RNA (253 nucleotides) under uncultured bacterium. Its description in RNAcentral is "partial 16S ribosomal RNA". It matches the Rfam family "Bacterial small subunit ribosomal RNA", at positions 524 to 776 of the family's 1533-position model. The record is from RNAcentral.